This 301-nucleotide ribosomal RNA is filed under the name uncultured bacterium. RNAcentral describes it as "partial 16S ribosomal RNA". It matches the Rfam family "Bacterial small subunit ribosomal RNA", at positions 509 to 807 of the family's 1533-position model. The record is from RNAcentral.
CAGUCGCCACGGUAAUACAGAGGUCUCAAGCGUUGUUCGGAUUCAUUGGGCGUAAAGGGUGCGUAGGUGGCGGGGUAAGUCAGGUGUGAAAUCUCGGGGCUCAACCUCGAGACUGCACUUGAUACUGCCUUGCUAGAGUAUUGGAGAGGAGAUUGGAAUUUACGGUGUAGCAGUGAAAUGCGUAGAUAUAUGGAGGAACACCGGUGGCGAAAGCGGCUCUCUGGCUUGUAACUGACGCUGAGGCUCGAAAGCGUGGGGAGCAAACAGGAUUAGAUACCCCCGUAGUCCCUGUCUCUUAUAC